RNA transcript from Balaenoptera ricei (Rice's whale), 6508 nucleotides. It is a transcript of the gene named glycerophosphodiester phosphodiesterase 1, with no coding region annotated. The record is from RefSeq and is a predicted model, not a curated record. The transcript is spliced from 8 exons. Lineage: Eukaryota; Metazoa; Chordata; Mammalia; Artiodactyla; Balaenopteridae.
GAAGUAGCCGCGGCCGCCAUUGUGCGGCGCUGGUCCACUUAAAGGGUGACAGCUGCGGUCCGCGCUUUGGGCUGUCGUCGUAGCUUCUUGGUCUCCUGUCCGCGGAGCCCGGCGGGACCGGGACUCCCGUCCGUGCCGGUGCGGGCGCCGGCAUGUGGCUCUGGGAGGAACAGGGGGGCCUCAUGGGCCCCUUCUCCUUCCUGAUGCUGGUGCUGCUGCUGGUGACGCGCAGUCCCUUCAAUGCCUGCCUCUUCACCGGCAGCCUCUACCUCCUGCUGCGCCUCUUCAGCUUUGAGCCGGUGCCCUCCCUCAGGACCAUGCAGGUGCUCAGGCCCCGGGACCGCGUCUCCGCCAUCGCCCACCGCGGCGGCAGCCACGACGCGCCCGAGAACACGCUGGCGGCCAUUCGGCAGGCAGCUAAGAAUGGAGCAACAGGCGUGGAGUUGGACCUUGAGUUUACUUCUGAUGGGAUUCCUGUCUUAAUGCACGAUAGCACAGUAGAUAGGACAACUGAUGGCACCGGUCGAUUGUGUGAUUUGACAUUUGAACAAAUUAGGAAGCUUAAUCCUGCAGCAAAUCACAGAUUAAGGAAUGAUUUCCCUGAUGAAAAGAUUCCUACCCUGAGAGAAGCUGUUGCAGAGUGCCUAGACCAUAACCUCACAAUCUUCUUUGAUGUCAAAGGCCAUGCAAAUAUGGCUACUGAUGCUCUAAAGAAAGUAUAUAUGGAGUUUCCUCACCUGUACAAUAAUAGUAUUGUCUGCUCUUUCUUGCCAGAAGUUAUCUAUAAGAUGAGACAAGCAGAUCAGAAUGUAGUAACAGCUUUAAUUCACAGACCUUGGAGCCUUAGCCAUACAGGAGAUGGGAAACCACGCUUUGAUACUUUCUGGAAACAGUCCAUGUUUGUGGCAUUGGACAUUUUGCUCGAUUGGAGUAUGCAUAAUAUCUUGUGGUACUUGUGUGGAAUUUCAGCUUUCCUCAUACAAAAGGAUUUUGUAUCUCCGGACUACUUGAAGAAGUGGUCAGCUAAAGGCAUUCAGGUUGUUGCUUGGACUGUUAAUACUUUCGAUGAAAAAAGUUACUAUGAAUCCCAUCUUGGUUCCAGCUAUAUCACUGACAGCAUGUUGGAAGACUGCACACCUCAGUUCUAGGCUUUUCCCCCAGGGAGGAAACACAGCAGAACAGAGAUUCAGUGAAUGGAACAGAUAUCUAAGCUGCAUGACUUCCAUUUCACGUUAUGACUAGAGUGACAAGAGGAAGAGAAAGGAACCAAAGAAAACAUGUGUGGACUGAAUUCCCCCUUUGGCUUACCUGCAGAGGCUAUACAGCGAAUGACAGGGAAGAAAUUCUCUUGGGGGCAGCACAGAGUUCACAACAUCCCUUCUGUGGUGUGAAGACCUUUUGAGAGCCAGAAGUUCUCUGUCUCUUGACCUUUGUCCCAAAUCCGUAUUGCACUUGACUCAGCCAGGCCCAAUUAAGGAUUGAGAUCCUAUGCUAAGGUGGUCGUGGGCCUUGAAGAAUGGAGAAUUCAGAUGAAGAAAGAAGGUGUUAAUUACUUACUUGGAAGAUGAGGAAAUUUGGACACAAAGGUACACCAGGAUGUGCACACAGAGGAAAGACCAUGUGAGGACACAGCAAGAAGGUGGCCAUCUACAGGCCAAGGAGAGAGGCCUCAGAAUGAAACCAAAACUCUGGACACCUUGAUCUUAGACUUCCCACCUCUGGAACUGUGAAAAAAUGAAUUUCUGUUGUUUAAGCCUCCAGUCUGUGCUAUGGAUUAUGGCAGCUCUAGCAAACUAAUAUAUCCCCUAUAUCUCAAGACCAAGGAUGUAAGGAUGUUACACACAUCCAAAUGUGUGUGUGAGACCUACAGACUAGAUCUUUCUACUGUGUUUGCUCCUCCAGGAGAAGCAGGGGCUACACUGAAGUAAAGAUAAGAGGUGGAGCUUCCCUGGUGGCACAGUGGUUGAGAAUCUGCCUGCCAGUGCAGGGGACACGGCUUCAAGCCCUGGUCUGGGAAGGUCCCACAUGCCACGGAGCAACUAGGCCCGUGAGCCACAAUUACUGAGCCUGCGCGUCUGGAGCCUGUGCUCCUCAACAAGAGAGGCCACGAUAGUGAGAGGCCCGCGCACCGCGAUGAAGAGUGGCCCCCGCUUGCCGCAACUAGAGAAAGCCCUCACACAGAAACGAAGACCCAACACAGCCAUAAAUAAAUAAAUAAUUCCCAUUUAAAAAAAAAAAAAAAAAGAUAAGAGGUGAAUGGAGAAGCAGUCCGGAUAUAAGCCCUGAGCAUAUGGGAAGUGAGCAAAAAUGAUGCUUCCAGAGGGAGUUCACAUUUCAGUGCAGAAGCCAAAGAAGCACAAAUAGCAUUAGGAUAACACACAGGGGGGAAAAAAUCCCUUCAAAUAUCAAUUGCACAGACUGCCUUCACUGACCCCACAGACAAGUUAAGUCUCCCAUUGUCCCUUGGGCUUCUCCUUCAUGGCACCUGCUAUAAGUAAUUACUGUUUAAUUAUUAAGUUCCUGCCUAAAGUGAUCUGCUAGACAGUACAUGAGAGCGGAGGCUGUGUCUUGACUUGUGCACCAUCUUGUUCCCCUCCACUUGGUACAUAUUUGUUGAACGAAGGAAUGAACAAACAAGCACUUCUAGCAACCACUAGCAAAGAUGGUACCAAAAGAACUUAAUUCAGCUGAUGAAUGAAUUAGUGAGCAAAUAAGUCAAUGAAGAAGUGAACCAAUGACUGAGCACUGACUGGAUCUUUGUGUUUUAAAUUCAUCUUAAAUGUUUUCUAAAUUCAGUUCCAAUUAGAUUUCAUGACAGUGAUUACUCAAGAGGAGAUUUCUCCUCCCGAGUAAUUUGGUAAUUGCACUUUUCUGCUGGACCCUUCCGUUUUAAGCAGAGUCAGGUGCCUUGUGAAUCAUUUAGGAAAUCUGCAAAAAAAUGCUUUAUACAUGUAUGUGUGCAUAUGUACACACACACACAUAUACAUACAUAUACAUACACAUACAUAUUCAAUAUAUAUAUUCCACACAUCACCACCGAUUUCAUGUUUGGUUCAAUGUAAGACUCUGAUGAUUGUGCAUAAAACCUCACAGGGGUAGUGUCCCCGUCCAAUCCAAAAGACUCGUGUACUCAAUGUGCAAUAAAGGUCAUAGACGAGCCCUCUGGUUGUUUUUCACCUUUGGGAAAAAUGGGGAUGUUUUUAGUUCAAAGUCAUGAACAAAUGCAGGUUCUACAAUUCAGACGCUUCACAUCCCUGAUCGAGGGUCACAUUUUUAUUCAGGCUGGACCACUUGUCUUAGCACCCGUCUCCAAACCUUUGCCAGGUCUGGGAGUUCUGGGAGUGGAGAUUUCUAAGGAUCAAUAAUUCAUACGCAUAUCUCUUAAACUACAACUCUUCCCAGGUUUUUGUGAACUAGUUCAAAUAUUACACGUCUUUACAGGAAAAUCUCAAAUAUUUUGUCUGGAAAAAUCAGCAAUUCAGGUGUAAAAAAAAACAGCAGGGAAUGCCCAGUUUUACUUCUGUAUUUACAUUGUAGUCAGUUUCCACUCCUGGCUAAAGGCUUGAAUUUCCCAUCUGGGAAUCUCCUAAAGGCCCAGGUGUCAUGGAGGAAGCUGCUCCAUCUUUAUCUAUCUUCUUUCCUUAUUUGGUUGGUGUCUGGGUACCACAAUAAUUAUCAGGCCUUUGGAUUAUCUUCUUGAACUGAUCGCCUAAAUCGCAGGUCUGGGUUUGAUACAGGAGAAGAGAAGUUAGCACAGAGGCACACUGCCCCAUAUCUCCAAGGGAAAGACCAAAUUAGCUCUCAAGAUCCCACAGCUUCUCAGGCCUUCCUUGCCUCCUCCUUUUAAGUUUCUUCAAUUCUCUCCCUUGAACUCCCAUCAUUGGAUGCUGUCAGUGAAUGCUAUUCCAAAAAGAUGAAUGGGUUUAUUUGUUUCCUCCCCAACAUUCAUUCCCCUCCUGGCAUCAGCCACAGGUUUUCUUUGGAAAGCCACCCUUCUCCACUCUCUCAGUCCCUGUGGCCUGUAUGUUUGUACCACCUGUAUCUAGAGGUGAGGUCUGAGACUCAGACCUGGCCAAUGAAAUCAUCACAGUCUCUUGGCCACAGCAAUUGGUUCAGAUCCAAUGAAACACAAUGAGAAUCUGGAUCUCUUUCACACUAGACUUGAAUCUGAGAAGAUACAAGAAGCUAAGAAAGCUGUCUUGUAAUUAUCAGGAGAUAACAUGGAAAAGAACUGAACAGAAAGAAACCAGGUUCUGGUGACAUACUGUGAGCCCCUGCUUCUGGCCACACCUAAAGCAAGAAUUAUUGUUGAGUUUUGGCUAAAGCCAAUUUGGGCCAGUUCUUGCAAUUGAACGAGUGACUGAUACAGGAGCAGUUCUGACCCUCUGUCUUGGGACCUGUCAUCUGGAUGGAUUAGGCCCUUCUUCAGUGCCAGUCGGGUACUCACCUCGAGCAGCAGCAUGUUCUCUGACACGCAGAGGACCAGAUUGCUAAAAAAGAAGAAGAGAAGACAUCUCAUCACUGGAAGAGAGUGUACACCUCAGAUCCUGCUGCAUCAGUGGUGAGACUUGUGAGCCCUCACCAUUUUAAUAUGAACAGGUGACAGAUUAAAACCAAGAUUCAGCCAUAGAAAUAUCAAACAUGUUUUGUUUCACUUUUUAUGGGCAGUGAUUCCAUUCAUUUAAUCAUUCAUUCACAGAUAUUUACUGAGCAUUUACAAUAUAUACCAGGUAAUAUAUUAGGACCUGCCAAGGUACACUCAUGAUCCUUGCCUUCAAAGGAUUUAGAGCUGGGCCUCUAGAUCCCUUACCUAUAUUGUGCUGGUGGUAUUGAUUUGCACAGGCAGUAAACGACAUGGUAGUCUCUUCUGACAAGAUCAUAACUUCUAAAACUAGUAGCAUUUGAAUUAACGUGGGUUUACUGUUUAUCCGCAUUUUCUAGGACACCAAGGAAGCCAGCACAGGCUUUGGUAUUAGAGCAGGAUUCCAGGCAUCUCUUGUUAUGAAUGAAAUUGGUAAAAAUCUUUUUAAGAGCGUGAUAUGGCAAUAUCUGUUAACAUUAUCAUGUGCAUGCCUGUGGCAGAUAAAACACUCACAUAAAACAAUUAUAAUAAAAAAAAUGUUUCAUUACACAACUUUUUUAGUAUUAAAAAAAAAAAAAACUGGAAACAACCCAAAUGUCCAAGUAGGUACAGACUGAAACAAUGUCUGAGAUAUAGUAUUAAGCGGGGAGAGGGGGAGUUAUGUGUAAAAAGAACCCCUUUUUUGUAAUAAAUAAAUAAACAAGAAUGUUAGUAGAUGCAUGCUUGUUUGCAGAUGCCUGGGGGAAAGAUCUGGAAGAAUAUACACUGAAUCAUUAACCUAGUGGGGUGAGAUUUCAAGCCAUUUUUCAUCUCAGUGGGAUAUACUUCUGUUUGGUUGGGUUAUGGAAAAGAUACAGGCAAGCCCCACGAGGGCAGAGCCCUACUGUGGUACCAUGAUAACCCCAGCACCUAGAACAGGACCAGGCAUAGAACAUGGUGAAUGCGUAUUAUUUUUUUUAAUAAAAAAUACAGAAAUGUUAAAACACAGAAAGUGAAGUGCCCUGAUGUGAUUCUAGUUCCCUGAUGCACUUUUCCCAGGAGGGCACAUCUGUGUCAUAGGGAUCCCAAGGCGGCUUCCAGCCUCACCUCCACAUCUCUCCCUUCUGGCGUAAACAAGGUGGGGCUUGCUCUCUUCUCCAUAUCCUGCAGCUUGAUCAACUUUUCUAUCAGGAACAUUUUGUCUUUGCCCUCCUGCCAAGAAGGAAAACAAAAACAAAAACAUGGAGGAUGAAUGAUGGUGUGGGAUUGGGAAGCAAAUGAUAGAAAGGUUGAUUUUUAGGCAGGUAGGGUCCUGGACAUUGGCUUCGCCACCAGGGAAGUCCAGUUUCCUUAAUUUUAAAAUAGAGGUUAAAGAAAUAAAUGUGCUCGGGACUUCCCUGGUGGCACAGUGGUUAAGAAUCCGCCUGCCAAUGCAGGAGACAUGGGUUCGAGCCCUGGUCCAGGAAGAUUCCACAUGCCGUGAAGCAACUAAGCCCAUAAGCCACAACUACUGAAGCCCGGGCGCCUAGAGCCCUUGCUCCCCAGCGAGAGAAGCCACCGCAAUGAGAAGCCCAUGCGCAGCGAAGAGUAGCCCCCGCUCGCCACAACUAGAGAAAAACCCGCUCGCAGCAAUGAAGACCCAACGCAGCCAAAAAUAAAUAAAAUAAAUUAAAAUUGCUAAAAAAAAAAGAAAUAAAUAUGCUAAACACCACUGCAGGGUUACAAAUCGUAUAUAUCCAGAAUGUGGGAACUACUACAAGACAAAAGACCUGGUUUCUCCAACAAUAAAUGUCAAGAGAAGCGGGAAGUGUGAACAGCUAUAGAUUGAAAGAAACAUAAAAGACACAUCAACCAAAUGCAACAUGUGACACUUUUUCAGAUUUUGACUUGAGUAAUCCUGCUGUAAAAAGACACUUAAUGGGACAAUUGGGGAAAUUUGACCAUUGA